AUGUGGUCGCUUCCUGGCUCCAUCGGAUGGUCACGAUCGCUGCAUCUCGUGCCUGAUUCGGCUGCGUUGCCUCCUUCUGGGAGAGCGGCGUUGCCCGAGUCAGAUCCAGAGCUGACUGCUAUGCUUGCCCGGGCCGCCAAGAGCGUCGGGCUGCCAUGGAAGGCCCCUCCAUCUCCCGAACACUCAAGGCUGGACAAUUGGUUCUUGGGAGUGCCGCAUGCAGAUCCGGUUCCAUUCUUCCCGGAAGUGCAUGAGGAGGUUACUAGGUCCUGGAGGGCACCUUUUUCUGACCGAAACAGAUCUAGUGCCUCCUCCGUCCUCACUACCCUGGACGGCGGGGCGGCUAAGGGGUAUGUGGAGAUCCCCCCAGUUGAGCGCGCUAUUGCGAUGCAGCUUUGCCCGCAAAGCGCUGCCUCCUUGAGGGGUAAUCCACGCCUCCCGUCCUGGGCCUGUAAGUUCUCGUCCGCACUGACGGCCAAGGCUUACGGAGCUGCCGCCUCUUCCCUGCACGCCAUGGCCUUCCUGCAGGUCUACCAGGCCAAGGCGUUAAAGCAGCUGCACGAGGGUAGUUCUGACCCAGGUGUCAUGCAGGAGCUGCGCACUGCGACGGACCUUGCCCUACGGGCGACGAAAGUCACAGUGCGGUCCCUGGGUCAGACGAUGUCCGUGCUAGUGGUCCAGGAAUGCCACCUUUGGCUUACCCUGGCAGAUAUGAGGGAGUCCGACAAGCACCGCUUCUUGGACUCCCUGAUCUCCCAGGCUGACCUUUUCGGUGAUGCGGUGGAGAGCUUCGCCCAACAGUUCUCCACCGCGCAGAAGCAGACGGAGGCGAUCAAGCACAUCCUGCCCCAGCGGCCCACUGCUGCCGUCACCCAGCUGCCGACCGCAGCCCCUCCGCCUGCUCAUCACCGAGGGCGCCCUCCUGCUGCCUCCACCUCCGCUCCAGCCCGGCCUCAGCAGCAGCCUUCAUGGCCACGGCAUGGAGCUGGCACCAGGAAAGCAGCGUAG
Molecule: long non-coding RNA, 1008 nt
Organism: Cyprinus carpio (common carp)
Lineage: Eukaryota; Metazoa; Chordata; Actinopteri; Cypriniformes; Cyprinidae
Source: Ensembl